This 576-nucleotide ribosomal RNA is filed under the name Bacillus pumilus. RNAcentral describes it as "bacterial SSU rRNA". It matches the Rfam family "Bacterial small subunit ribosomal RNA", at positions 57 to 617 of the family's 1533-position model. Lineage: Bacteria; Bacillati; Bacillota; Bacilli; Caryophanales; Bacillaceae. The record is from RNAcentral.
GCAGUCGAGCGGACAGAAGGGAGCUUGCUCCCGGAUGUUAGCGGCGGACGGGUGAGUAACACGUGGGUAACCUGCCUGUAAGACUGGGAUAACUCCGGGAAACCGGAGCUAAUACCGGAUAGUUCCUUGAACCGCAUGGUUCAAGGAUGAAAGACGGUUUCGGCUGUCACUUACAGAUGGACCCGCGGCGCAUUAGCUAGUUGGUGGGGUAAUGGCUCACCAAGGCGACGAUGCGUAGCCGACCUGAGAGGGUGAUCGGCCACACUGGGACUGAGACACGGCCCAGACUCCUACGGGAGGCAGCAGUAGGGAAUCUUCCGCAAUGGACGAAAGUCUGACGGAGCAACGCCGCGUGAGUGAUGAAGGUUUUCGGAUCGUAAAGCUCUGUUGUUAGGGAAGAACAAGUGCGAGAGUAACUGCUCGCACCUUGACGGUACCUAACCAGAAAGCCACGGCUAACUACGUGCCAGCAGCCGCGGUAAUACGUAGGUGGCAAGCGUUGUCCGGAAUUAUUGGGCGUAAAGGGCUCGCAGGCGGUUUCUUAAGUCUGAUGUGAAAGCCCCCGGCUCAACCGGG